UACGUAGGGGGCGAGCGUUGUCCGGAUUUACUGGGCGUAAAGCGCGCGUAGGCGGAAGUGUAAGUGUGGCCUGAAAGCCCCCGGCUCAACCGGGGAGGGUGGCUGCAAACUGCGCUUCUUGAGGGCGAUAGAGGAGUGUGGAAUUCCUGGUGUAGCGGUGAAAUGCGUAGAGAUCAGGAGGAACACCCGUGGCGAAGGCGGCACUCUGGGUCGGUCCUGACGCUGAGGCGCGAAAGCGUGGGGAGCGAACGGG
RNAcentral lists this ribosomal RNA (253 nucleotides) under uncultured bacterium. Its description in RNAcentral is "partial 16S ribosomal RNA". It matches the Rfam family "Bacterial small subunit ribosomal RNA", at positions 524 to 776 of the family's 1533-position model. The record is from RNAcentral.